GUAGGUGAACCUGCGGAAGGAUCAUUAACUCAAUAUAUGCGUGGUUGCUUCUCACGAGGUGGCCAAGCAUCAUAUUAACAAAACCAAAUUAACAAUCCGUGAAACUAUACCAAAAACCAAAAUGAAUGGGUUCGCGUGUCAUUACUUCCUUUGAAUGCACGUACUCAGCCAAUACCAAUUCCACCUAAAUUUUAACCAUAUUAAC
RNAcentral lists this unclassified non-coding RNA (205 nucleotides) under plant metagenome. RNAcentral describes it as "partial contains small subunit ribosomal RNA, internal transcribed spacer 1, and 5.8S ribosomal RNA". The record is from RNAcentral.